UCUAAGCUAACCUAGGGAAACGAACAUGUCCUAAACCUCACCUUAUCCUUAAACAAAGCCCCAACUAUCACCAUUUUCUAUUCCCCAAGAUCUUCCCCACUUUUAGCCUUUUAUCAUUGACCAAAAAGCCUCGAACCACCAUUGCUGGCCAAUACUCAACUAAACUCGUCCAUCCCUCUACCCCUCACUCCAACCCAAUAAAAUGACUCAUCCCUUCACUAAAACCAACCUAGAAAUCCAUCCCAA
RNAcentral lists this long non-coding RNA (246 nucleotides) under Gossypium raimondii (Peruvian cotton). RNAcentral's name for it is "long non-coding RNA (GRAI_LNC001550)". The record is from RNAcentral. Lineage: Eukaryota; Viridiplantae; Streptophyta; Magnoliopsida; Malvales; Malvaceae.